RNAcentral lists this ribosomal RNA (194 nucleotides) under uncultured Pediococcus sp. RNAcentral's name for it is "partial 16S ribosomal RNA". It matches the Rfam family "Bacterial small subunit ribosomal RNA", at positions 338 to 524 of the family's 1533-position model. The record is from RNAcentral. Lineage: Bacteria; Bacillati; Bacillota; Bacilli; Lactobacillales; Lactobacillaceae.
CCUACGGGAGGCAGCAGUAGGGAAACUUCCACAAUGGACGCAAGUCUGAUGGAGCAACGCCGCGUGAGUGAAGAAGGGUUUCGGCUCGUAAAGCUCUGUUGUUAAAGAAGAACGUGGGUAAGAGUAACUGUUUACCCAGUGACGGUAUUUAACCAGAAAGCCACGGCUAACUACGUGCCAGCAGCCGCGGUAAU